CGAGUUGACCAGAUGAUCGCGCUUUAUGAACGGUUCGCCGCCAUGAGGUGAGGAAAGUCCGCUCUCCAUCGAGCACAGUGCUAGCUAACGGCUAGGCGGGGCGACCCGACGGCAUAGUGCCACAGAGAUGUGUAUUGCCUCGCAAGAGGUGAGGGUGAAACGGUGGUGCAAGAGACCACCAGUGUCGGCAGCAAUGUCGGCAGCUAGGCAAACCCCACUGGGAGCAAGACUAAGCAGAAGCGAGGGGCUGCUCGUCCCGUUAUCAGCUUCGGGUAAGUUGCAGGAGGCGUCCGGGUGACUGGCGUCCCAGAGAGAUGAUCAUCACGCGCAAGCGAACAGAAAGCGGCUUAUAGGUUGGCUCGGACU
This 366-nucleotide RNase P RNA is filed under the name Anaerolineae bacterium. RNAcentral describes it as "RNase P RNA component class A". It matches the Rfam family "Bacterial RNase P class A". From Rfam's summary of the family: Ribonuclease P (RNase P) is a ubiquitous endoribonuclease, found in archaea, bacteria and eukarya as well as chloroplasts and mitochondria. Its best characterised activity is the generation of mature 5'-ends of tRNAs by cleaving the 5'-leader elements of precursor-tRNAs. Cellular RNase Ps are ribonucleoproteins. The record is from RNAcentral. Lineage: Bacteria; Bacillati; Chloroflexota; Anaerolineae.